This 73-nucleotide transfer RNA is filed under the name Variola albimarginata (white-edged lyretail). RNAcentral describes it as "tRNA-His". It matches the Rfam family "tRNA". Rfam says of the family: Transfer RNA (tRNA) molecules are approximately 80 nucleotides in length. Their secondary structure includes four short double-helical elements and three loops (D, anti-codon, and T loops). Further hydrogen bonds mediate the characteristic L-shaped molecular structure. tRNAs have two regions of fundamental functional importance: the anti-codon, which is responsible for specific mRNA codon recognition, and the 3' end, to which the tRNAs corresponding amino acid is attached (by aminoacyl-tRNA synthetases). tRNAs cope with the degeneracy of the genetic code in two manners: having more than one tRNA (with a specific anti-codon) for a particular amino acid; and 'wobble' base-pairing, i.e. permitting non-standard base-pairing at the 3rd anti-codon position. Lineage: Eukaryota; Metazoa; Chordata; Actinopteri; Perciformes; Serranidae. The record is from RNAcentral.
GUAGAUAUAGUUUGAAGAAUAAAAACAUUAGAUUGUGGUUCUAAAAAUAGGGGUUAAAACCCUCUUAUCCACC